CACGUGGGAACGUACCCUUUGGUUCGGAAUAACGCAGGGAAACUUGUGCUAAUACCGGAUACGCCCUUACGGGGAAAGGUUUACUGCCGAAGGAUCGGCCCGCGUCUGAUUAGCUAGUUGGUGGGGUAACGGCUCACCAAGGCGACGAUCAGUAGCUGGUCUGAGAGGAUGAUCAGCCACAUUGGGACUGAGACACGGCCCAAACUCCUACGGGAGGCAGCAGUGGGGAAUAUUGGACAAUGGGCGCAAGCCUGAUCCAGCCAUGCCGCGUGAGUGAUGACGGCCCUAGGGUUGUAAAGC
RNAcentral lists this ribosomal RNA (300 nucleotides) under uncultured Methylobacterium sp. RNAcentral describes it as "bacterial SSU rRNA". It matches the Rfam family "Bacterial small subunit ribosomal RNA", at positions 114 to 431 of the family's 1533-position model. Lineage: Bacteria; Pseudomonadati; Pseudomonadota; Alphaproteobacteria; Hyphomicrobiales; Methylobacteriaceae. The record is from RNAcentral.